RNAcentral lists this ribosomal RNA (254 nucleotides) under uncultured bacterium. Its description in RNAcentral is "partial 16S ribosomal RNA". It matches the Rfam family "Bacterial small subunit ribosomal RNA", at positions 524 to 776 of the family's 1533-position model. The record is from RNAcentral.
GACGAACCGUGCAAACGUUAUUCGGAAUCACUGGGCUUAAAGCGCGCGUAGACGGGUGACCGCGUCGAUGGCUGAAAGCCCCCGGCUCAACCAGGGAACGGGCCUCGAUACGGGUCGCCUCGAGUGGAGGAGGGGGACCUGGAACUUCCGGUGGAGCGGUGAAAUGCGUUGAGAUCGGAAGGAACGCCUGUGGCGAAAGCGCUCUACUGGACGGUGUCUGACACUCAGGGACGAAAGCUAGGGGAGCGAAUGGG